This 76-nucleotide transfer RNA is filed under the name Herpetosiphonaceae bacterium. Its description in RNAcentral is "tRNA-Ala". It matches the Rfam family "tRNA". Rfam says of the family: Transfer RNA (tRNA) molecules are approximately 80 nucleotides in length. Their secondary structure includes four short double-helical elements and three loops (D, anti-codon, and T loops). Lineage: Bacteria; Bacillati; Chloroflexota; Chloroflexia; Herpetosiphonales; Herpetosiphonaceae. The record is from RNAcentral.
GGGGCUUUAGCUCAGUUGGGAGAGCGACACGCUGGCAGUGUGUAGGUCGGGGGUUCGAACCCCCCAAGCUCCACCA